CUCUGAAGGGAGGGCAUCUCUUUAAUGUAGACUGCUUAUUGCAAAGGAGUGCUGCAUAGCUAAAGAGCCUUUUCCCUAGUUAGUGUCAGCAGCGUGUGGAAUUUCCUUUGGUCACUUAAUGUCAUCUUAUAGACAGCAGCACUGCUUCAUGGCUGCAACAGGGCUGCACUUCAGUCUUUAUUAAGUUAUGGGAAUACAAGAUCGAGACUGACACAAGGUA
Meleagris gallopavo (turkey) is the source of this 220-nucleotide non-coding RNA. The record is from RefSeq and is a predicted model, not a curated record. Lineage: Eukaryota; Metazoa; Chordata; Aves; Galliformes; Phasianidae.